UACACACCGCCCGUCACGCCAUGGAAGCUGGGGGGACCUGAAGCGGGUGGGCUAACCGCAAGGAGGCAGCCGUCAAAGGUCAAUUCAGUGACUGGGGCG
RNAcentral lists this ribosomal RNA (99 nucleotides) under uncultured bacterium. RNAcentral's name for it is "partial 16S ribosomal RNA". It matches the Rfam family "Bacterial small subunit ribosomal RNA", at positions 1384 to 1482 of the family's 1533-position model. The record is from RNAcentral.